GGGCGUGUGGCUCAGUUGGUAGAGCGCCCGCUUAGCAUAUUCAUUCCAAGCUUGCGGAAGGUCCCCGGUUCGAUUCCGGGCUCGUCCA
Non-coding RNA from Podospora fimiseda, 88 nucleotides. The record is from the annotation of a GenBank genome assembly. NCBI's taxonomy places the organism in Eukaryota, Fungi, Ascomycota, Sordariomycetes, Sordariales, Podosporaceae.